UCUACCUACCUAUUUUUCUUCGUUUUUCUUUGAAAUACCUUGGACCAGUGUAACCCAAAACCGACUGGACUACAAAAACUGACUUUAAACCUGUGGCAGCACAGUGAUUGCCACACUCAGCCUCCCGCUGCCCAGGCUCACCAGAUGGGGUGUGGCUGUCUGGACCUUCAGGCCCUUCCCUGUAUCGAUCAGGUCCAGAGGUGGAGACUACAAGCAUCAGUCAGAAUGGGAAGGAAGCCAGCGGGGAUACAGUGGAGGGAGAGAGAGGACCAAUCCAAACAACAUAGGAAUGCUCUCCAUCAGUCAAAGCUGCUGCUCUCUGCUCUCCCACUUGCCUGCCAUGGAAGAAGUUGAUUUCUAUCAGGCCAUCCCUCACCUUUGGAGGAGAACAGAGCGAAGAGCUGGGGGUCAUUUGUUGCACUAA
This is a long non-coding RNA of Thunnus maccoyii (southern bluefin tuna), 424 nucleotides long. RefSeq lists it as uncharacterized. Lineage: Eukaryota; Metazoa; Chordata; Actinopteri; Scombriformes; Scombridae. The transcript has 4 exons. The record is from RefSeq and is a predicted model, not a curated record.